GACGAACGCUGGCGGCGUGCCUAAUACAUGCAAGUCGAACGCUUUUUCUUUCACCGGAGCUUGCUCCACCGAAAGAAAAAGAGUGGCGAACGGGUGAGUAACACGUGGGUAACCUGCCCAUCAGAAGGGGAUAACACUUGGAAACAGGUGCUAAUACCGUAUAACACUAUUUUCCGCAUGGAAGAAAGUUGAAAGGCGCUUUUGCGUCACUGAUGGAUGGACCCGCGGUGCAUUAGCUAGUUGGUGAGGUAACGGCUCACCAAGGCAACGAUGCAUAGCCGACCUGAGAGGGUGAUCGGCCACACUGGGACUGAGACACGGCCCAGACUCCUACGGGAGGCAGCAGUAGGGAAUCUUCGGCAAUGGACGAAAGUCUGACCGAGCAACGCCGCGUGAGUGAAGAAGGUUUUCGGAUCGUAAAACUCUGUGUUAGAGAAGAACAAGGAUGAGAGUAGAACGCUCAUCCCUUGACGGAUCUAACCAG
RNAcentral lists this ribosomal RNA (484 nucleotides) under Enterococcus casseliflavus. Its description in RNAcentral is "bacterial SSU rRNA". It matches the Rfam family "Bacterial small subunit ribosomal RNA", at positions 28 to 487 of the family's 1533-position model. Lineage: Bacteria; Bacillati; Bacillota; Bacilli; Lactobacillales; Enterococcaceae. The record is from RNAcentral.